AUACGGAGGGUGCAAGCGUUACUCGGAAUCACUGGGCGUAAAGCGCGCGCAGGCGGGCUGAUAAGUUGGGUGUGAAAGCCUACGGCUCAACCGUAGAACUGCAUCCAAAACUGUCAGUCUAGAGUGUGGGAGAGGAAGAUGGAAUUAGUUGUGUAGGGGUAAAACCCGUAGAGAUAACUAGGAAUACCAAAAGCGAAGGCAAUCUUCUGGAACACUACUGACGCUGAGGCGCGAAGGCGUGGGGAGCAAACAGGAUUAGAAACCCCAGUAGUCC
This 274-nucleotide ribosomal RNA is filed under the name uncultured bacterium. RNAcentral's name for it is "partial 16S ribosomal RNA". It matches the Rfam family "Bacterial small subunit ribosomal RNA", at positions 523 to 796 of the family's 1533-position model. The record is from RNAcentral.